Molecule: long non-coding RNA, 188 nt
Organism: Jatropha curcas
Lineage: Eukaryota; Viridiplantae; Streptophyta; Magnoliopsida; Malpighiales; Euphorbiaceae
Source: RefSeq, a predicted model, not a curated record
AUGGAAGCCAAUUCGGUAUAUUUUGCAACAGCCUGCUCUGGGAGAAAAGAGGCCUUUUGAAUAUGUGAGUAGUUGGCUAAGGAGCUGGAGAAUACAUUUGGAAGAGAAAAGGACUUCAGCAACAGUCAAGAAAGAAGUUCAACUGAAGAGGAAUUAAGCUAAAGGACAUCAAGUUUACAUGUAACACC